CAGAGUUUUCUUUGAAACUCCAAAGAAGGAAAAACUCUUACCUUGUGGCAAACAGCUCAUUCCAAGCAGCCAGGACUCCGCUCAAGGGUCCUAUGCAAUGAACAGGGAAGCUGAAACUGCAUUGUCUGGUGCUGGUGGUGACUUCUGAUGAGAUGGUCCUGAUGAGUUUCCUACUUUCUGCUUCAUCGGAUUUAUCUUGGCAGUCAAUUUCUCCAUUACACCGCAAGCGGGCAUCAAUACAUUGUCCUUUCUCACACUGAAACUGGGCUGCUGAGCAUAUAGGACAGCUAUCUUCAUCACUCUGAUCAUCACAUUCUGGAAAUCCAUCGCAUCGCCAUGCCAUUGGGAUACAGUCUAUCUCCCCAGUCGCACAGGCCCUGCACCAUCCUUCUUCCAGAUGUGGAGUUUGACAGAAGGCCUCCUGUAUCUCAUCAGCACUUCUCUGUCAGUCAGCCAGAAGGGACCCAUUACCACCAUCCCCAGGGGCUCAGUGUCUCUACAGUUCUAACAUCUGCUGGUUCCCAGAGAAAGAAACCAAAUGUGGAACCAGAUUAUGGAUCCCUGCCUUAUUCUGGGCACAGAGAAUGAAUCAGGACUGCAGAGAGAAUGAAGCUAUUUGUAAGAUCCCUGCUUCAUUUACUCUAGAAGCUGGAAGCUCUGUAGGGCACAGCAUAGGGGCCUGCAGGUGGAGAAAGGUGGGUUUGUUGUUUUUUCCCCCAGUAGUGAUUUCCCACAACAUUCAGCAGCUCUUCCUAUUUCCUGCUUUCUGCCCUGCACUCCAGUUUUCAGCAGCAGAUCCCCCACUCCACCCAUCAACUGCCCAACAGCAAAGGGCAAAAGCCAGCUCAGUUGCUGAGAUGCAGGGCAUCAAAGCUCCUGCUGCAGAGGGCAGGCUCAGCAGCAGAGGGAGGGAGGUACUGAGGGGGAAAUGAGACAGAUGGUUUAUUCAGGCUGUAGUCAGACCCUUGAAAAUGGAGAUGAAAUGAAAGUGCUUUGGGAGGAAGGUGGCAAAGCGACAGGCAGUGAUGAGAUAGUCUGAUCAAUUAUGUGGCAUGAUAGUAUAGAUGAGCUUGGAAGUGGGGAGAGGCGGAACGGAGAGAGUAGCAGGCUCUAAGACAGGAAGGAGAAAGAUGAGGGGACAGUGUGGAAAGAAUGGACGAGACAAAGAUGGUGAGGGGGAACACACUCAUAAUACAAAACCAGUGUCAAUAUUUCAACAACGAUCUCAGACAUCUUAUUUCCACAGGACAGAGAUUCUAGGCUCACUUUUCAAGCGCCUGACCCUUAUAAAGUAGCAUCUAAGGCAGAGCUGUUGUCACCUCUAGAGCAUUUUACGGUGUUUGAAAAUGGUUACUAAGAAGAACUGAGUUAACUGACAGAACAGACCAGGCCAGGCCAUACCACGAUAAGCAUCACGUCAGCUCACCGUGACUGACCCUCAACCCAGCAGGAUUUAAUUGUGGUUCAUCGACGUCAUGCUGACCAUGACUCGUGCUGGUCUGCACUGACUAGUCUGCUGUGGUCAGUGUCAUGUCAGCUAAAUCAAUCAUUUACAAUUGCGUGUGAAUGCUGUGGCAAUUUGUAUUGUAGCCCAGUCUACAUUUAGACUGUAUGCUCCAUGGGGCAGGGAGAGUCCCUCUACAUUUGCAGGAAACUGUCCCAGGCUUGGUUUGGGCCUCUACCUACUGCUAGAAUACCAGUUAUUAUUACUACCAGUACUCCUUCUACUAAAUGAAUGCAGCACACACCGGCAAAGGAGAGGUAAGGGCACAAAUCCUGUAGUAUACUAAACAAUGUCCAUGCGGAUGCAUCUGAAAACUGACCACAUUCUACUUCCUACCUCCACAUACCAUUUCCUUCAAACUUCCUUUCACGUGCCCAAUCAUUCAGUAAGCCUAACUUUAGCGUUUGGAAGAAAUGGGAUAAAAAUCAAAGUGGUGUUUCACCUCUAAACAAUAACAACAACAAAAUCAAAUAAUCAGUCCUAUUAUUCAAGCUAACAUUUUAAAAGAGUUAAAAUUUGUGGCUGCUUUUAACCUUUACUGUUGGCAGUCUGAUAGUGUUUGUUGUACCAUUUUUGUGAAAGGUACUUAAAAAGUUGUAACUUUUUUUUGUAGUUCUUUUCCAUAAUGACAGCCCUUGAAUCAUUCUCUUACAUCAGAGAAACAACUUUAUUUAAUUGGGGAUUGGUCCUGCUUUGAGCAGGGGGUUGGACUAGAUGACCUCCUGAGGUCCCUUCCAACCCUGAUAUUCUAUGAUUCUAUGCAGGCAGUUUCUGCCUAUGUGUACCAGAUGUAUUCCAAAAGAAAUGAAAAAUGUACCGGACGAUGUGAGUUAGUGGUAUCUCUGUUCUAAGAUUUAAUUAUGGAAUAAUGAUAAUUGUGACUAACUUGCUCUUUUCCUCUCUGGCAUUUAAACUUUUUUUUUAAUGCCCACAAAAUAAGAUAAUAAAAACAUUAAUCAGCACUAGAGUCAACUAAUUUGCUGAAAAAAUUACUUAAGAGCUCAGCCAUGCAGGCAAAUAAAACAUUUCUUUCAAUUACAGUUGCUAUAAAAUUUGUUCAAAAGAUCACAGCGUACAAAGACUCUUACUAUACUGCUAAAAGGAGCACUGCAGUACACGCAGAUUAUUUUAAAUUAAAGGAAAAAAUA
This is a non-coding RNA of Caretta caretta (loggerhead turtle), 2652 nucleotides long. Lineage: Eukaryota; Metazoa; Chordata; Testudines; Cheloniidae. The record is from RefSeq and is a predicted model, not a curated record.